UGGGGAAUAUUGCACAAUGGGCGAAAGCCUGAUGCAGCAACGCCGCGUGAGUGAUGAAGGUCUUCGGAUUGUAAAGCUCUGUCUUUUGGGACGAUAAUGACGGUACCAAAGGAGGAAGCCACGGCUAACUACGUGCCAGCAGCCGCGGUAAUACGUAGGUGGCGAGCGUUGUCCGGAUUUACUGGGCGUAAAGGGUGCGUAGGCGGAUGUUUAAGUGAGAUGUGAAAUACCCGGGCUUAACUUGGGUGCUGCAUUUCAAACUGGAUAUCUAGAGUGCAGGAGAGGAGAAUGGAAUUCCUAGUGUAGCGGUGAAAUGCGUAGAGAUUAGGAAGAACACCAGUGGCGAAGGCGAUUCUCUGGACUGUAACUGACGCUGAGGCACGAAAGCGUGGGUAGCAAACAGGAUUAGAUACCCUGGUAG
Molecule: ribosomal RNA, 421 nt
Filed under: uncultured bacterium
Lineage: Bacteria
Description: partial 16S ribosomal RNA
Rfam family: Bacterial small subunit ribosomal RNA
Source: RNAcentral